RNAcentral lists this small nucleolar RNA (316 nucleotides) under Fundulus heteroclitus (mummichog). The record is from RNAcentral. Lineage: Eukaryota; Metazoa; Chordata; Actinopteri; Cyprinodontiformes; Fundulidae.
GCCCAGUGAUGAGACCAAGGCGAAUAUGAGCUCACUGAAUGAGAGCCGGGUUCUUGUUGCCUUUACUGGCAGGUAAUCUUGGCAGUGCAGAGGAGGAUUUCUGCUCUGCUGUAAGGGCCUGCCGACAGAGACUUAGCUCAGCCAGCAUUAUUCCUCUACAGUUACCGUGGAGUAAUGGCUUGGGUGAUGCUGACAGUGUGUGUGUGUGUGCGCGUGUGUGUGUGUGUGUGUGUGUGUGUGCAGAAGGCAAAAAGUUCACCCGGCUCUCUUUGAUGUUCAGUGAGCUAUGACUGUCGUCUUUGGUAAUCUGAGGGCA